RNAcentral lists this ribosomal RNA (301 nucleotides) under uncultured bacterium. Its description in RNAcentral is "partial 16S ribosomal RNA". It matches the Rfam family "Bacterial small subunit ribosomal RNA", at positions 509 to 807 of the family's 1533-position model. The record is from RNAcentral.
CAGCCGCCGCGGGAAUACGGAGGGUGCAAGCGUUAUCCGGAUUUAUUGGGUUUAAAGGGUCCGUAGGCGGACUUAUAAGUCAGUGGUGAAAGCCUGUCGCUUAACGAUAGAACUGCCAUUGAUACUGUAAGUCUUGAGUAUAUUUGAGGUAGCUGGAAUAAGUAGUGUAGCGGUGAAAUGCAUAGAUAUUACUUAGAACACCAAUUGCGAAGGCAGGUUACCAAGAUAUAACUGACGCUGAGGGACGAAAGCGUGGGGAGCGAACAGGAUUAGAGACCCGCGUAGUCCCUGUCUCUUAUAC